AAGUCGUAACAAGGUUUCCGUAGGUGAACCUGCGGAAGGAUCAUUAACAAUGUUUUGCAUAUCCAAAAUCUAGGUCUGUGCCAUUCACUACCAACCUCUCGGAUGGUAUUGCUUGAACGUCCUAGUACACACACUGGAAAUGGAGGCUUUGAGCCGCCGUUUCAUUUAACAAGAACCUGGGGUACUUUAAGGUAGAGGGUAAAAAACCUUUUACUUUAGAGCCCUCUAAUAAUCCCCCCCUCUCUUUAUUUUACCAUAUUUUACCCUUAAGACUAUAAGACUGAUAUGACAUGGUUUAGUGUCUAACAUUAAAUCUUAUGAAACAACUCUUAACAAUGGAUAUCUCGGUUCUG
Molecule: unclassified non-coding RNA, 353 nt
Filed under: fungal sp.
Lineage: Eukaryota; Fungi
Also listed under: 1 other name
Description: partial internal transcribed spacer region
Rfam family: Eukaryotic small subunit ribosomal RNA (bases 1-46)
Source: RNAcentral